Molecule: ribosomal RNA, 463 nt
Filed under: Bacteroidetes bacterium oral taxon 272
Lineage: Bacteria; Pseudomonadati; Bacteroidota
Description: bacterial SSU rRNA
Rfam family: Bacterial small subunit ribosomal RNA
Source: RNAcentral
GAUGAACGCUAGCUACAGGCUUAACACAUGCAAGUCGUGGGGCAUCAUGAUGUAGUAAUACAUUGAUGGCGACCGGCGCACGGGUGAGUAACGCGUAUCCAACCUACCCUCCACUCAAGUAUAGGCUUCCGAAAGGGAGAUUAAUCCUUGAUAUCGUCAUUCUCUCUCCUGUUAGAAUGAUAAAAGGACAUCGUUUCGGUAGAGGAUGGGGAUGCGUUCCAUUAGGUAGUAGGCGGUUUAACAGGCCACCUAGCCGAUGAUGGAUAGGGGUUCUGAGAGGAAUAUCCCCCACACUGGUACUGAGAUACGGACCAGACUCCUACGGGAGGCAGCAGUGAGGAAUAUUGGUCAAUGGGCGCAAGCCUGAACCAGCCAUGUAGCGUGAAGGAUGACGGUUUUUUUAAUUGUAAACUUCUUUUCUGUGCGAUUAAAGUGUGGCAUUUAUGCCAUAGGCAGUAUCUCA